AUUGAACGCUGGCGGCAGGCUUAACACAUGCAAGUCGAGCGGAGUGAUGGUGCUUGCACUAUCACUUAGCGGCGGACGGGUGAGUAAUGCUUAGGAAUCUGCCUAUUAGUGGGGGACAACAUCUCGAAAGGGAUGCUAAUACCGCAUACGUCCUACGGGAGAAAGCAGGGGAUCACUUGUGACCUUGCGCUAAUAGAUGAGCCUAAGUCGGAUUAGCUAGUUGGUGGGGUAAAGGCCUACCAAGGCGACGAUCUGUAGCGGGUCUGAGAGGAUGAUCCACCACGCUGGGACUGAGACACGGACCAGACUCCUACGGGGGGCAGCAGUGGGGAAUAUUGGACAAUGGGGGGAACCCUGAUCCAGCCAUGCCGCGUGUGUGAAGAAGGCCUUAUGGUUGUAAAGCACUUUAAGCGAGGAGGAGGCUCUUUUGGUUAAUACCCAAGAUGAGUGGACGUUACUCGCAGAAUAAGCACCGGCUAACUCUGUGCCAACAGCCGCCGCAG
This 503-nucleotide ribosomal RNA is filed under the name uncultured bacterium. RNAcentral describes it as "partial 16S ribosomal RNA". It matches the Rfam family "Bacterial small subunit ribosomal RNA", at positions 30 to 523 of the family's 1533-position model. The record is from RNAcentral.